UGGGGAAUAUUGCACAAUGGGCGCAAGCCUGAUGCAGCCAUUGCCGCGUGUAUGAAGAAGGCCUUCGGGUUGUAAAGUACUUUCAGCGAGGAGGAAGGCGUUAAGGUUAAUAACCUUAGUGAUUGACGUUACUCGCAGAAGAAGCACCGGCUAACUCCGUGCCAGCAGCCGCGGUAAUACGGAGGGUGCAAGCGUUAAUCGGAAUUACUGGGCGUAAAGCGCACGCAGGCGGUUUGUUAAGUCAGAUGUGAAAUCCCCGGGCUCAACCUGGGAACUGCAUUUGAAACUGGCAAGCUUGAGUCUUGUAGAGGGGGGUAGAAUUCCAGGUGUAGCGGUGAAAUGCGUAGAGAUCUGGAGGAAUACCGGUGGCGAAGGCGGCCCCCUGGACAAAGACUGACGCUCAGGUGCGAAAGCGUAGGGAGCAAACAGGAUUAGAUACCCUGGUAGUCCACGCUGUAAACGAUGUCGACUUGGAGGUUGUUCCCUUGAGGAGUGGCUUCCGGAGCUAACGCGUUAAGUCGACCGCCUGGGGAGUACGGCCGCAAGGUUA
RNAcentral lists this ribosomal RNA (550 nucleotides) under uncultured bacterium. Its description in RNAcentral is "bacterial SSU rRNA". It matches the Rfam family "Bacterial small subunit ribosomal RNA", at positions 355 to 896 of the family's 1533-position model. The record is from RNAcentral.